Molecule: ribosomal RNA, 268 nt
Filed under: uncultured prokaryote
Description: partial 16S ribosomal RNA
Rfam family: Bacterial small subunit ribosomal RNA
Source: RNAcentral
GACAUAGGAGGCAAGCGUUAUCCGGAUUUAUUGGGCGUAAAGAGCGUUGAGGCGGCCCUGUAAGUUGGACGUGAAAGCUCCCGGCUCAACCGGGAGAGGCCGUUCAAUACUGCAGGGCUUGAGGACAGCAGAGGGGGGUGGAAUUUCCGGUGUAGUGGUGAAAUGCGUAGAUACCGGAAGGAACACCAGUGGCGAAGGCGGCCCCCUGGGCUGAUCCUGACGCUGAAUGCGAAAGCUAGGGGAGCAAACGGGAUUAGAUACCCGCGUA